Molecule: ribosomal RNA, 246 nt
Filed under: uncultured bacterium
Lineage: Bacteria
Description: partial small subunit ribosomal RNA
Rfam family: Bacterial small subunit ribosomal RNA
Source: RNAcentral
AGAAUCAACGCUGGCGGCGUGCCUAACACAUGCAAGUCGAACGAGAAAGGGGAGCAAUCCCUGAGUAAAGUGGCGACCGGGUGAGUAACACGUGACUAACCUACCCUCGAGUGUGGAAUAACAUCGGGAAACCGAUGCUAAUACCGCAUAAUAUCGCGAGAUCAAAGGAGCAAUCCGCUUGAGGAGGGGGUCGCGGGCUGAUUAGCUAGUUGGCGGGGUAACGGCCCACCAAGGCGAAGAUCGGUA